GAUGAACGCUGGCGGCGUGCCUAAUACAUGCAAGUCGAGCGAACAGACGAGGAGCUUGCUCCUCUGACGUUAGCGGCGGACGGGUGAGUAACACGUGGAUAACCUACCUAUAAGACUGGGAUAACUUCGGGAAACCGGAGCUAAUACCGGAUAAUAUAUUGAACCGCAUGGUUCAAUAGUGAAAGACGGUUUUGCUGUCACUUAUAGAUGGAUCCGCGCCGCAUUAGCUAGUUGGUAAGGUAACGGCUUACCAAGGCAACGAUGCGUAGCCGACCUGAGAGGGUGAUCGGCCACACUGGAACUGAGACACGGUCCAGACUCCUACGGGAGGCAGCAGUAGGGAAUCUUCCGCAAAGGGCGAAAGCCUGACGGAGCAACGCCUCGUGAGUGAUGAAGGUCUUCGGAUCGUAAAACUCUGUUAUUAGGGAAGAACAAAUGUGUAAGUAACUAUGCACGUCUUGACGGUACCUAAUCAGAAAGCCACGGCUAACUACGUG
This 497-nucleotide ribosomal RNA is filed under the name uncultured bacterium. Its description in RNAcentral is "partial 16S ribosomal RNA". It matches the Rfam family "Bacterial small subunit ribosomal RNA", at positions 28 to 507 of the family's 1533-position model. The record is from RNAcentral.